UACGGAGGAUGCGAGCGUUAUCCGGAUUUAUUGGGUUUAAAGGGUGCGUAGGCGGGCUUUUAUGUCAGCGGUAAAAAUUCGGGGCUCAACCCCGUCCGGCCGUUGAAACUGGGGGCCUUGAGUGGGCGAGAAGAAGGCGGAAUGCGUGGUGUAGCGGUGAAAUGCAUAGAUAUCACGCAGAACCCCGAUUGCGAAGGCAGCCUUCCGGCGCCCUACUGACGCUGAGGCACGAAAGUGCGGGGAUCGAACAGG
RNAcentral lists this ribosomal RNA (252 nucleotides) under uncultured bacterium. Its description in RNAcentral is "partial 16S ribosomal RNA". It matches the Rfam family "Bacterial small subunit ribosomal RNA", at positions 524 to 776 of the family's 1533-position model. The record is from RNAcentral.